UCACCCUAGGAAUGUGCACAGGGGGCAGCUGCCGGUGGAGGGUGUUUGGUAUGAGGGAGACAGGCUCAUGGGGAAAUGCAGCUGGCCCUCCCGCACUGGGGCCCCAGCGCUGACAGGGGACGGCGUAGGACGGGGAUCCCUUGGGCUAGGAGGGCGAGAACUGCUGCGCCAUCAGGUGGCAGCUUUGGGGUCAGCACCCUCGAGAUGUCCUGCCCUUUCUCCAGCGGAAUUGGGAAGAGCCCCUCAAGGGCUAAACAGAUUCUGACGGGGUCUCUUGUGGUGGGGAGGACAGGUGGAGAGAGACAUGCUUCCCUUAUAACCCAGCAAUCCUGUUCCAUGUAUUUGCCCAAGAGAAAUGAAAACUUCUGGGUGGAUGUUUAUUCACCCAUAACCUGUAUGUAGAUGGUUUUGGUUGCAUUAGUCUUAUCUCCUUGACAUAGGACUUUUCAUUUUAUCCAUUUUGUCUUGAAUGUGUAUGGAAUUAUUUUUAGGUGGUUGUUCUGGGGAUUAGAAUAUUUAUGCCACACUUUUCAGUCUAAUAAGAGGUGUAUCUUACCAACUCGAGUAAUAUGUGAAAGCCUAACAGUCAUAUACAUUCAUGUGGCUCUUUAUGUUAUGGUUGUCAUAUGUAUUCCAUCUACAAGCCUUGAAGCCCCACAUCCCUUUCAAAUGAUGAUAUGUUUUCAUGGUUUGGAAGCAGCUCAUCCUGGAAGCGCAGAACCUGCCAGGCGUCUUGCACUUCCUCCUCCCAGUCCCCCUAGGGUUAAAGGCUGCACUCUAAGAAGGCACUAGCCUGUCCCCAGGAGUCUAUCCAGAUCCCUGGAGGGCUCCAUUUCUGCAGGACGAGGCUACCCCUUGGAAUAAAUCCUCUCUGCUUCUGCCCAGCCCUGUAAGGGGCACCUUCCAUUCUUUCUCCAGCAGGCUUUCCUCUGCUGACAGGGAAGGAGACAGUGUGGGGCAGAGAGGGAUUUAUCCUCUUCUCCUUGGGCUGAGGAGAGGGCUGGGAAGUCCUCCAGGCAGCAUCUAACUUCCUCACUCUUUGGGCUGCUGUAAGUGGCCUUCCAGGUCCUUCCUGCUAUUUUCAUGUUCAAAAAUUGAAAUUUGAGUUUUCUGAGCUGGAAUUUCCUCUGUUUAAGGCUGCUAGGAAAAAUGGCUGCCAGGGGUCCUGUAAAGCAAAGCUUGCUUGGAGAAUGGGCGAAGAUGUAUGUAUGGAGGAGCUGAGACACUCAAAGGAUUAACCCCCUGGCCCAGGUCACCGACUUGUCGUGGAGUUCAUUGGAAUGUGAUGGGAAGGAGGAGAAGAAGGAGAAGGUGAUGGAGAGUCUCCUGGAGGCAGCUGAAUUUUUGGCAUGGCCGAGAAGACCUGGGGUGGACCCUUGACCCGCAUUGGGCCCACUCUUGCUUCUCUCCCGGGAACUAAGACUUAGGAUUUAUGAAUGCUGGUCUGUCUGUGCAGGAAUGGUGUGUGAGGAGAGGGAGGCAGCAUGGUGAUUUGUGAAGGGCUGAACUCAGACAGACCUAGGUUUAAGUUCUGGUCAUCUCACUUGCUGUGUGACCUUGGACAAGUCACUUCACUUCUCUGAGCCUCUCUCCAACAACGGGGCUAAUAAUCCCUGCCUUAUAAAGUUGUGGUGAUGAUUAAAAAGUGGCUGGGAAUGGUAGCUCUUGGAAAUAGUAGACAGUCAAUAAAUGUCAGUUUUCUGCUCUUCAGUCCUUUAAAGUUACUGUACAGCAGGUCCUGGAAUAAUACUAAAAUGUUUCAUUAUAAUGUUGGUGAGAAAAAGAAAAAUCAAUUCCCAGCCAAGGCCAUCAUCUGGGUGCAGUCUGUACAUUCUCCCCAUGUGUUCAUGGGUUUUCUCUGGCUCUCUGGUUUCCUCUCAUAUUCCCAGGAUGUGCACAUCAAGUGAAUUGGCAUGUCUAAAUGGGCCCAGUCUGGGCCAGGUGUGGUGGCUUACACCUGUAAUCCCAG
This 1969-nucleotide long non-coding RNA is filed under the name Homo sapiens (human). Its description in RNAcentral is "HSALNT0370367". The record is from RNAcentral. Lineage: Eukaryota; Metazoa; Chordata; Mammalia; Primates; Hominidae.